RNAcentral lists this ribosomal RNA (497 nucleotides) under uncultured bacterium. Its description in RNAcentral is "partial 16S ribosomal RNA". It matches the Rfam family "Bacterial small subunit ribosomal RNA", at positions 28 to 507 of the family's 1533-position model. The record is from RNAcentral.
GAUGAACGCUGGCGGCGUGCCUAAUACAUGCAAGUCGAGCGAACAGAUGAGGAGCUUGCUCCUCUGACGUUAGCGGCGGACGGGUGAGUAACACGUGGAUAACCUACCUAUAAGACUGGGAUAACUUCGGGAAACCGGAGCUAAUACCGGAUAAUAUAUUGAACCGCAUGGUUCAAUAGUGAAAGACGGUUUUGCUGUCACUUAUAGAUGGAUCCGCGCCGCAUUAGCUAGUUGGUAAGGUAACGGCUUACCAAGGCAACGAUGCGUAGCCGACCUGAGAGGGGGAGAGGCCACAAGGGAACAGAGACACGGAAGAGACUAGGACGGAAGGCACAAGUAGGGAAUCUUGCGCAAUGGGCGAGAACAGUACAGAGCAACGACGAGGGAAAGAAGAAGGUCUUCGGAUCGGAAAACUCUGUUAUGAGGGAAGAACAAAAGGGGAAGGAACUAUGCACGCCGGGACGGUACCUAAUCAGAAAGCCACGGCUAACUACGUG